UAAUACAUGCAAGUCAAGGGCCAGUAAUGGCACCGGCGGACGGGUGCGUAACGCGUACACAACGUACCGUUUGGGUGGGGGAUAGCAUCGGGAACUGGUGGUAAUACCCCAUGGUAUUGGAAACUGGCAUCAAGUUUUCAAUUAAAGACUACGCCCAAAGAUCGGUGUGCGUCUGAUUAGCUAGUUGGUAGGGUAACGGCCUACCAAGGCGACGAUCAGUAGGGGGAUGUGAGAGCAUGAUCCCCCACACGGGUACUGAGACACGGACCCGACUCCUACGGGAGGCAGCAGUAAGGAAUAUUGGACAAUGGUCGGAAGACUGAUCCAGCCAUGCCGCGUGCAGGAAGACGCAUCUAUGGUGUGUAAACUGCUUUUGUACGGGAAGAAACACUCCUACGUGUAGGAGCUUGACGGUACCGUAAGAAUAAGGAUCGGCUAACUCCGUG
This 446-nucleotide ribosomal RNA is filed under the name uncultured bacterium. Its description in RNAcentral is "bacterial SSU rRNA". It matches the Rfam family "Bacterial small subunit ribosomal RNA", at positions 49 to 507 of the family's 1533-position model. The record is from RNAcentral.